This is a non-coding RNA of Gossypium hirsutum (cotton), 130 nucleotides long. Lineage: Eukaryota; Viridiplantae; Streptophyta; Magnoliopsida; Malvales; Malvaceae. The record is from Rfam.
UGUUAAAAAUUUUAUUCAUUUUUAUGGCUAAAAAUUGGCGUGAUUGACGGAGUAACCAGACAGUUACACGACUUUAUCCUGAUGUACAAUGACUAGGUUUUAAUAGUAGAAAUGGAUAAAUUUUUUUACA